This 250-nucleotide ribosomal RNA is filed under the name uncultured bacterium. RNAcentral describes it as "partial 16S ribosomal RNA". It matches the Rfam family "Bacterial small subunit ribosomal RNA", at positions 524 to 776 of the family's 1533-position model. The record is from RNAcentral.
UACGUAGGGUGCGAGCGUUAAUCGGAAUACUGGCGUAAAGCGUGCGCAGGCGGUGAUGUAAGACAGGUGUGAAAUCCCCGGGCUUAACCUGGGAACUGCAUUUGUGACUGCAUCGCUGGAGUGCGGCAGAGGGGGAUGGAAUUCCGCGUGUAGCAGUGAAAUGCGUAGAUAUGCGGAGGAACACCGAUGGCGAAGGCAAUCCCCUGGGCCUGCACUGACGCUCAUGCACGAAAGCGUGGGAGCAAACAGG